This 1343-nucleotide ribosomal RNA is filed under the name uncultured bacterium. RNAcentral describes it as "16S ribosomal RNA". It matches the Rfam family "Bacterial small subunit ribosomal RNA", at positions 28 to 1378 of the family's 1533-position model. The record is from RNAcentral.
GACGAACGCUGGCGGCGUGCUUAACACAUGCAAGUCGAACGGAAAGGCCCUGCUUUUGUGGGGUGCUCGAGAGGCGAACGGGUGAGUAACACGUGAGUAACCUGCCCUUGACUUUGGGAUAACUUCAGGAAACUGGGGCUAAUACCGGAUAGGAGCUCCUGCUGCAUGGUGGGGGUUGGAAAGUUUCGGCGGUUGGGGAUGGACUCGCGGCUUAUCAGCUUGUUGGUGGGGUAGUGGCUUACCAAGGCUUUGACGGGUAGCCGGCCUGAGAGGGUGACCGGCCACAUUGGGACUGAGAUACGGCCCAGACUCCUACGGGAGGCAGCAGUGGGGAAUAUUGCACAAUGGGCGGAAGCCUAAUGCAGCAACGCCGCGUGCGGGAUGACGGCCUUCGGGUUGUAAACCGCUUUCGCCUGUGACGAAGCGUGAGUGACGGUAAUGGGUAAAGAAGCACCGGCCAACUACGUGCCAGCAGCCGCGGUGAUACGUAGGGUGCGAGCGUUGUCCGGAUUUAUUGGGCGUAAAGGGCUCGUAGGUGGUUGAUCGCGUCGGAAGUGUAAUCUUGGGGCUUAACCCUGAGCGUGCUUUCGAUACGGGUUGACUUGAGGAAGGUAGGGGAGAAUGGAAUUCCUGGUGGAGCGGUGGAAUGCGCAGAUAUCAGGAGGAACACCAGUGGCGAAGGCGGUUCUCUGGGCCUUUCCUGACGCUGAGGAGCGAAAGCGUGGGGAGCGAACAGGCUUAGAUACCCUGGUAGUCCACGCUGUAAACGGUGGGUACUAGGUGUGGGGUCCAUUCCACGGGUUCCGUGCCGUAGCUAACGCUUUAAGUACCCCGCCUGGGGAGUACGGCCGCAAGGCUAAAACUCAAAGGAAUUGACGGGGCCCCGCACAAGCGGCGGAGCAUGCGGAUUAAUUCGAUGCAACGCGUAGAACCUUACCUGGGUUUGACAUGGAUCGGGUGUGCUCAGAGAUGGGUGUGCCUCUUUUGGGGUCGGUUCACAGGUGGUGCAUGGCUGUCGUCAGCUCGUGUCGUGAGAUGUUGGGUUAAGUCCCGCAACGAGCGCAACCCUUGUUCACUGUUGCCAGCACGUUAUGGUGGGGACUCAGUGGAGACCGCCGGGGUCAACUCGGAGGAAGGUGGGGAUGACGUCAAGUCAUCAUGCCCCUUAUGUCCAGGGCUUCACGCAUGCUACAAUGGCUGGUACAGAGAGUGGCGAGCCUGUGAGGGUGAGCGAAUCUCGGAAAGCCGGUCUCAGUUCGGAUUGGGGUCUGCAACUCGACCUCAUGAAGUCGGAGUCGCUAGUAAUCGCAGAUCAGCAACGCUGCGGUGAAUACGUUCCCGGG